This is a non-coding RNA of Varroa destructor (honeybee mite), 5944 nucleotides long. NCBI's taxonomy places the organism in Eukaryota, Metazoa, Arthropoda, Arachnida, Mesostigmata, Varroidae. The record is from RefSeq and is a predicted model, not a curated record.
UCCUUUUGUCGUGGCUGCUGCGCACCCUCCUCUCGCUCCUGGCGCUCCUCAGAUGUUGUCUCCAGCAUCAUCAUAAUCAUUAUAAUCGUCCGACUAAGGCAUGACACAUGCACGCACAGGCCUUGUGUAUCACGCAUGCUGCUCCCGCUUCAAAAGUCCCCGCCCCACAGCAACAGCAACAACAGCAGCAGCAGCAAGAAUACUGAUAGUCCCGGAGCCCAGAGUGAACUCGGCCCAGCCCUCAAAUCACACAAUUCGCUUCUCGAACCGCUCACCCCGACCUAACGCAACACCUCACAAGCUGUGUCUUUCACACCGACAGCGUAUUGUGGCUAAUGACCUUCAAUCGCGGCUUCAGAACGGCAAGAUAGUCAUGUACUCUGACGUAUUUAAGAAUUCCAGGCGAGGUUAAGACGACUAAACCAACUGAGGUUAGGCGGGCUUUGCGUGCAAGUUCGAAAAUUUCCCGUAAAUUCAUAGAACGCUGUCCUGUUGGGCAGCCGUGAUAAAGUCUGUAGUAAAGUGCAUACGUACAGAUCAGCCGGUUGCCGGCACGAAGGCAAAGCUGGACCAGCAGCGUAACAACAGCAGCAGGCGUGGCUUGGGCGCCAGCGAGGACGUUUUCCUCGGCAGGCCUCGACAUAUCUUAUGUCUAUUGACUGGUAGCUAGCGCCUGACGUCACCAUUAUGUCACAUGAUGAGGAAACGCUACCGUAUUACUAUGAGACUAAUGAAUGCACAGCGGACGCCAACUGCACGACGGCUGACGCCAGCGCUGUAUGUGACGAAGCCUUGAAAAGAUGCAUUUGUCUGCACGGACUUUUUCGAGAUACUACUAUCCCGGAAAUUCGGUGUGUGUAUGGCAAACGAUUGGACCAGUGGUGCAGCUCAACAAAACAAUGCUAUGUUGUCAACCGCAAUACGAGUUGUGUUGGCAGCUUUAUGCGGAGCUUAUGCAAAUGUCAACAUGGGUAAGACUUGACCACGAUACCCGCCUAUCCAUACACAUACAUAUAUAAGAUGUAUAUUUAAGGUUAGUAUGCUUUUAUGCGGUCGGGCACUUCAGUCGAAUAGCCCGAUGAAGGCAUGUUGUUUAUGGGAUUAACACGCGCAUGAAUCUUUAAAGAUGGUCGAAAGAUGGUUGCUUGUAAAAAUGUAGCCUUUUUUUCUAUAAAAUUUCUCGCCUAUUUUAAAUCAGUUAUUAUAUUUGUGCCUACCAUGCGUUCGCAGUUGUUCGUAAGCCUCGUAAUUAUUAUGCAAUAGUAACAUAUUGUCACACAAAACGCAUUCAGUAAAGCUGGACGUUAAAACUAGAUUGUUUUCCAGAAAAGAGCUAUAAUCCUGGCUAGAGAAGAUAGUUGCUUCAUCUAGUGCUAUCUAGUGCUAAAAUGGUUGGUUCAGUUAUUGUGAUUCCAACCUUCGCCGUCUAGAAGUAGUAUCAGCUAGUACCACUCGACUGACCUUUAUAAAAGUUCUUUUCGUUUAGCUUCGGCGUGCUGUCUACGCGAUACUAGGUCUGGGCAUCUCCUGCAGAAGCAAAAUGAAGGAUACGAAUGCCUUUGAUCUCAUUUGUGAUAUCCUCAAAGGAAAGAUUUCCCCCUUGAACGAUGCAAUGAAUGCAGAAAAUGCAAUUGAAGGUAAGUCAAUAUACCUCCCACGCUGUAACAUAAUUAACGAGCAGUUUUCGUCUCGCUUUACAAUUUGAUCGUACGUCGGCACUAGGCAGUACAAGGAUGCAUAUUCUUACGCUGUUUUUGCCGCAUUCAUAUCACUACAUAUCCUACAUGGACACAUGUUUAUGUACCUAUAUUUGCCCGUUGUGGUCGCCGUUGCGUUAAUCAUACAGUAUACAAAUGUUGCCAUUUGUACAAACUUUAUUCGACCCCAUUGUCUCUACUAAACAGUUGCCGAUCAUUCAAUAGAGCAUUUAUGGUUUCUUCAAGUACUAAGUAAAGAAGAUGACUGGACCUUUGCUUGUUAACUGAUUGUCAUCUUUACCCACUAAUUAUUAUUUUGCCAUGUAAACGUGACGUUUGCUGAAGGGACAUUAACAAUUUUUUCGCUUUUCGCACCUGGCAAAAAUUCAGGCGUCGAUAGAAUCCAAAGCACAUCUUCCUCGCCAACGCCGACGGCCGGUCCUGUCGGUAAUGAUGAUGAACCGGGUGCGGCAGCUGGUAGCAGUACGCAGUGUACGCAAGGCGUUUUGACAGCCACAGAGAUCGAUGAUGGCCCAGAGGAAAUUGCUGUUGAAGCUUGAUAACGGAUCCCCUACCAAUGACGAAUGAGUAUCCGGCCUAACGGUUAGAUGACACAGAAGCGUCUUGCAUCGGACAUGGCUAGCAUAGAUAUAGUACGCUAAAUCCUCUGAGACACUCUCGUAGAAGCUAACACAUUUGUCCUCGUCGCUCAAAGUGCUUGCCGUGAUGUCGGCGAUCUGCAGGUGCCGUUGCUUCAGUCCUGCACUUAUCCUUUAAAUACGAAGGCGAGCUGCCCGAUAAACAAUCCACGUCAUAUACCGUAAUCCUUUCGACAGCUGCUUCUGCUACUGAGUCUUGCAGUCGAAACGCUUUCAAGAGACCUGAAGAUACAAACGGCAGCGAACGUAUAUACAAUUAAGCCAUUUUUCAGGAUAUAAUUACCUCUGUAUAGGAUGAAUCGAGCUAACCCAUUAAGCGAAACCCGUCAACCGGAAAUUUCUUGCCUAACAGAGGGUCUUUCAAGUCACACUUAGACGGUGCUAGCACCUUGCUUGAUACUUAUCCAAAGAUCGCUAUAUUAUCUUACAACCGGACCACCGUUACGGAAUCACUGUCGUUUUAUAUUGAAAUAGCAUAACGACGUUCAUUGGCGGUUGUAGAUGCAGCAUAGUGUAAGCGGUUGAUGACCACAGAAAAAUGUUGUGAACGUGGCUUGAGUCCAAAAACUCAGUGAACUUCUUUUUCUUUGACAAUUAUAACUGUAUAAAAGUGAACAUUUAUAAAUGCCAGCAAAACACUUAGGUGGUUUAUAGAAUCACCGAGCUCUCGAAAACGGCAAUAAUACCAGACACAAGUCAAACUGAUAUCUAAAUGCAUACAAUACAUGCAUAGACAGAACUGUCAUUUUUCACCCGGUUUGUAUAUAUUAUGACUUUUAAAUCGAUGAUAACAUAGCUAGAAUUCGUUAGACGACCGUAUUUCACGAACACCGCACGUGGUUGAGACACCUGUAGAGAAACGCGUCAGUGAUAACAGCAAUAUACAAUAUUUUCAUUCUAGAAAAGUUACCAUGAAAGCACACAAAAUAUAUCUGGUUGCUGGAAAUGUCAGUAUGUCUAUCACUUGUUACGUGGCAUAGGGUUUCAACGCAUAUCGGCUGGCAUCGUAUGGAACGACGGUCCAUAACACGGUCAAAUCGUUUUGGGUAUCCCAUGCGUGAUUGUUGAUCGAUUCAGACCUCGUUCAUGGAUGAUAAAGCAUGGCCUACAGCGUAGUCGGUGACCGUAUAAUGAUGCCGUCAUUUCAUUCUAUGUAUUAUCUAUACGAACAAUCUACACUUCCUUUGUUUAAGUGUACUUUGUCCAAAAGCCUACCAUCAAGCUCUGAUUAAGCUAUAUGCGUUAUAUAUGUAGAUACAUUUAUACAAUGGUACAUUUGUAGCAAUAAAUUUCAACAUUAUGCUGUGCAUCCUCAUUGUGCUGGCACGCCAUCGAAGGGGAGUGAGUAAAGAUUUUGACGUGUCUAUUUUCGGCCAUUCGCUGAUGAAAAAUGGGCCAGCUGGGUUUCAUCGAACUGCCGCUCGCAAUAGCGCUAUUACAGAUGUAAAAAUUAUAAUUCGAGUGGGGGAAAGAAGAUAUUCUCUUCUUAAGAACAUAUCCCCGACGCGCCGGCUACAACAGAUUUUCUUAAACAGACUAUAGACAGUGAUAAAUAGACACACCAAUACGUGGCAUUUAGGCAAAAAGGUCUGUUUCAAAAUUCUCUCUCUAAAUGCAGCCAGAGAAGUCGAGUUUUCGGUACUAGUCAAUGAGGACAAUGAACGAAGAUUCGCAAACGCUCAUUGCGCUGUUACUUGCAGCAGUCUUUCGAUGAUAUGCUAUGAGUGAUCCGCUUACAAUAUGUUGCAGUUUGUCGAAUUCCGCCACGAAACUUAUUUAUUUCAAUUUAAAAUUUAUAAUUUUAAAAAAUAAUUAAACACAAUGUGAGUUUUUAUCAUUGCGAGCAAAUGGGGCAAAGUCAUUGGCCAGAUUGAAUAAGGAAACGAAUCUGUGAUCUUCGACAGCAAACCCAUCCCUUCACCCGCGCCUUUCGAGCUAGCCACCGCCGAGCGCAUUGUAGAAAAUCAAGCUCUUAUUUUCAUGUUAAAAUGUCUUUGUCGCUUAUAAUUCUAGGUUUAUAUCAUUGUAGUAAACUAUAUUGCUAUUUUUGUCGCGCAAGCAUCCAUUGCGUUUUUCCUACAGUUUUCCAGAUUCUCCGAAAACAUCUCUAGGCACUAAAGGCCUUGUAUUUGUUUUAUGAAUUAUCAAGCCGUUGGCCGAUGAUAACAAAACAACGAUUUAUACGUGAGUCAAGGUAUCACAUACACGAUAGCUUGUUUAUAUAUAUAUAUAACGAUUGUUAAGUACAUCAUCAUUUGUUUGUUACAUAUUUAAAUAUUGACUUCUCUAUUAUAUAUACACAUGAAUAGAUUCAGACCUAUAAAUAUACAUGUGUACGAGAGUACUAUUUACGUUGCAUAAGGCAUGUGAAUAUAUAUAUAACAGGAUAAUUAGUAGUUAGCUCGUUUGACAGUGAGUGUUGCUAUGACGGCAACUUUGGCGUUGUUAAGAUGAGAAUCAUCAUCUGUUUGCUUAUUGGAUAAAGUAAGGGAACUGAUCUGGGUUCCGCCCUUCGCUGAUGUGAAUCUCAUCACGUUUUAUAGCUUCAACGAUAUAGUUAGCGUGAAAAUGCUUGCUAAUUACCUCGAUAUUUAAACUAAAUAAGAUACAUAAUACUGUUAAUAUUCGAAAAUCAUACAAUGAUUAUACUGGGUCAUCGGAGAGGCCGUUGCAGAGAGGCAGGAAAGCCUAGACUCACAAUUCAUUCAGGGCUAUAGAUGCCGUCUUUAAGUGUACGGUUUGCUCAUAACCACCCCUCAUCCUGCUUGAAACUAGUACAGAAGGAAAAUUGAAUAUAUUUUUUAGGUGUGCGCUGUCUUUGAAGGGUGAGCUAACAGGUAGGUAGAGCAGUGGGGAAUAUAUCGGACCGGACAGCACACUCUUAGCGGACGAUGUCUUCGCUUCCCUAAAGCAGCUUGUACGUAUAUGUAAGUACACUCCAUCUUAUCAUAUAAGUAAAGAUAUGUUUUAUCAGCCAAAUGCACAAGCAGGCCGGCUUGAAAAGAGCACUUUGUCUGAGCGCCGACUGAUAAUGCCGAUGCCUGUAGUAUUAUUUCCAACUAAAAAAAGCCAACGAUCUGUGUAGACAUUUGUCGAGCGCGUCCGCUGAGUGUUGACACAAUGUUUAAUCAUCGAAGCCCUGUAAUAUUUAGGAGAUUACAUUUUCAAACAAUUUUUAGGGUUUUUGCGUAUUUGCUACUCGUCGUUAAUAAAGCUCUAUGUCACCUUGAUAAUGUUCCCAAAGGAGACUCGACAUCUCAAAGUUAUUUAUCGUAUUAUUAAAAACGUUGGUACUUGAUGAAAAACGCCAAAGUGAUACGACAAUAUUUUAUAGGUCGUUUGAGAAAUGAAGACCUUAAGGCCAUUAGCCUUAACUCACAUUCUCUCAGACUGUAUAACGGUCAUAAGCGUAAUAACGUUUUUGACUAAAUCCUUUCAACAUGACACAUAAUAAUUGUUGCGGAUGAACAUGUACGUUAUUUACGAUACAAUAUUUAUUGCAAAUCGUACUGAAUAACCAUGUCGAAACGCUUUGCACCGGUUGUGAAAAGCGGUAAAAAAAAAAAAAAAACCACUAGGCAAAAGCCA